Oncorhynchus tshawytscha (Chinook salmon) is the source of this 1962-nucleotide long non-coding RNA. The record is from Ensembl. Lineage: Eukaryota; Metazoa; Chordata; Actinopteri; Salmoniformes; Salmonidae.
GGGUUAGGUAGCCUAGUGGUUAGGUAGCCUAGUGGUUAGAGCGUAGGGGGUUAGGUAGCCUAGUGGUUAGAGCGUAGGGGGUUAGGUAGUCUAGUGGUUAGAGCGUAGGGGGGGGGUUUGGUAGUCUAGUGGUUAGAGCGUAGGGGGGGGUUAGGUAGUCUAGUGGUUAGAGUUUUGGGCCAGUAACCAGCAGGUAGUCUAGUGGUUAGAGUGUAGGGGGGUUAGGUAGUCUAGUGGUUAGAGUGGAGGUCUAGUAUCCAUAAAGGUUGCUAGAUCGAAUCCCCGAGCUGACACGGUACAAAUCUGUCAUUCUGCCCCUGAACAAGGCAGUUAACCCACUGUUCCUAGACCAGUUAACCCACUGUUCCUAGACCAGUUAACCCACUGUUCCUAGACCAGUUAACCCACUGUUCCUAGACCGUCAUUGAAAAUAAAUAUUUGUUCUUAACUGACUUGCCUAAAUAUACUGUAUUGUAUUCUAUACUGACUGUUAAAUGAAGAGAAAAAUAAAUUAAAAUAAAUAAUAACGGCCGGCACGGAGCGAAUGGCAUCAAACACCUGGAAACCAUGGAAACCCCUGUGUUUAAUGUAUUUGAUACCUUUCCAGCUAUUACCACGAGCCCGUCCUCCCCAAUUAAGGUGCUACCAACCUCCUGUGGCGUAUAUUGUAUCGCUGACAUUCUUGUUUGGGUUUUUAUAGUGUAAAUUUUUAUCAGUCAUAUCGUGGCCAAAUCGCUGUACACACAGCACUCACUCACUCGCACGCCGUCGUGUGAACAGCCUAGGGCCGAUUGCAGCAGUAGCUAUGGAAACCAAGCCAUGCGGAGGGCACUCCCCGCACACUGCUAUUAGCCGAGGCAAUUGCUGGGCGAACGCCGAACUGUGAUUGGAUUAAAAAAUUAAACUGCGUGACGUAGAAAAGCCCAUGGGCCGAAAUCUCUUCCUUCCUCAUCACCACCACCUCCUCGUGUGUGUGUGUGUGUGUGUGUGUGUACAACAGUCUGCUCAGAGCUCCUACGUCACUCUGUCCUGGUAGAGUAGGACGUACAAGCUGACGUCUAUGCGGCUGAAAGCAGAGUCACUGUGGUAUCUAUAUGACUCUCUCUAGCUAAAACACAAACACUGCUUAGCAACAACUGGCUAGGUGGGUAGUUAAAACACACACUGUUUAACAGUAGGUAGGUAGGUGGUUAGGUUGGUAGGUAGGUAGGUAGGUGGUUGGUUAGGUGGUUAGGUAGGUAGGUAGCUAGGUAGGUGGUUAGGUAGAUGGGUAGGUGGGUAGGUAGGUGGUUGGGUAGGUGGGUAGGUAGCUAGCUAGGUAGGUAGGUGGUUAGGUAGGUAGGUAGGUGGGUAGCUAGCUAGGUGGGUACGUGGGUAGGUGGGUAGGUUGGUAAUUAGGUAGGUGGUUAGGUAGGUAGGUAGGUAGGUGGUUGGUUAGGUAGGUAGGUGGUUAGGUAGGUAGCUAGGUAGGUGGGUAGGUAGGUGGGUAGGUGGUUAGGUAGGUGGGUAGGUAGGUGGUUAGGUGGGUAGGUAGGUAGGUGGUUAGGUAGGUGGGUAGGUAGCUAGCUAGGUAGGUGGUUAGGUAGGUGGGUAGGUAGGUGGGUGGUUAGGUAGGUGGUUAGGUAGGUAGGUAGGUAGGUGGGUGGGUGGGUAGCUAGGUAGGUAGCUAGGUAGGUAGCUAGGUGGUUAAAACACAAAUACUCUAAAUGAGAGACAAUGACAGGUGGCAGUGAUGUCAGUCUGCAUGCAGUGUUCUUAGCUUUAAAAAAAUGGCCUCAAGGCUCAGCGCGAUAGGUUAAUCCAAUACAUUUCACCAGGGCUAGAGGGGCUGAGUGUCUAGAGGGGCUGAGUGUCUAGAGGGGCUGAGUGACUAGAGGGGGGGCUAGAGGGGCUGAGUAUCUAGAGGGGGGGCUAGAGGGGCUGAGUGUCUCGGGGGGCUAGAGGGGCUGAGUGUCUCGGGGG